GAGAGUAUAGCUCACUGAUAGAGUGCCAGCUUAGCAUGCAGGAGGUCCUGGGUUCAAUCCCAGUACUGUCA
This 71-nucleotide transfer RNA is filed under the name Camelus ferus (Wild Bactrian camel). It matches the Rfam family "tRNA". From Rfam's summary of the family: Transfer RNA (tRNA) molecules are approximately 80 nucleotides in length. Their secondary structure includes four short double-helical elements and three loops (D, anti-codon, and T loops). Further hydrogen bonds mediate the characteristic L-shaped molecular structure. tRNAs have two regions of fundamental functional importance: the anti-codon, which is responsible for specific mRNA codon recognition, and the 3' end, to which the tRNAs corresponding amino acid is attached (by aminoacyl-tRNA synthetases). tRNAs cope with the degeneracy of the genetic code in two manners: having more than one tRNA (with a specific anti-codon) for a particular amino acid; and 'wobble' base-pairing, i.e. permitting non-standard base-pairing at the 3rd anti-codon position. The record is from Rfam by way of RNAcentral. Lineage: Eukaryota; Metazoa; Chordata; Mammalia; Artiodactyla; Camelidae.